UCCUCCCUCUUCCCUCGUGCUUAACACAUGCAAGUCGAACGGAAAGGCCCUGCUUUUGUGGGGUGCUCGAGUGGCGAACGGGUGAGUAACACGUGAGUAACCUGCCCUUGACUUUGGGAUAACUUCAGGAAACUGGGGCUAAUACCGGAUAGGAGCUCCUGCUGCAUGGUGGGGGUUGGAAAGUUUCGGCGGUUGGGGAUGGACUCGCGGCUUAUCAGCUUGUUGGUGGGGUAGUGGCUUACCAAGGCUUUGCCGGGUAGCCGGCCUGAGAGGGUGACCGGCCACAUUGGGACUGAGAUACGGCCCAGACUCCUACGGGAGGCAGCAGUGGGGAAUAUUGCACAAUGGGCGGAAGCCUGAUGCAGCAACGCCGCGUGCGGGAUGACGGCCUUCGGGUUGUAAACCGCUUUCGCCUGUGACGAAGCGUGAGUGACGGUAAUGGGUAAAGAAGCACCGGCUAACUACGUG
RNAcentral lists this ribosomal RNA (468 nucleotides) under uncultured bacterium. Its description in RNAcentral is "partial 16S ribosomal RNA". It matches the Rfam family "Bacterial small subunit ribosomal RNA", at positions 36 to 507 of the family's 1533-position model. The record is from RNAcentral.